AUUGAACGCUGGCGGCAGGCCUAACACAUGCAAGUCGGACGGUAGCACAGAGGAGCUUGCUCCUCGGGUGACGAGUGGCGGACGGGUGAGUAAUGUCUGGGGAUCUGCCCGAUAGAGGGGGAUAACCACUGGAAACGGUGGCUAAUACCGCAUAACGUCGCAAGACCAAAGAGGGGGACCUUCGGGCCUCUCACUAUCGGAUGAACCCAGAUGGGAUUAGCUAGUAGGCGGGGUAACGGCCCACCUAGGCGACGAUCCCUAGCUGGUCUGAGAGGAUGACCAGCCACACUGGAACUGAGACACGGGCCAGACUCCUACGGGAGGCAGCAGUGGGGAAUAUUGCACAAUGGGCGCAAGCCUGAUGCGGCCAUGCCGCGUGUAUGAAGAAGGCCUUCGGGUUGUAAAGUACUUUCAGCGGGGAGGAAGGCGAUGUGGUUAAUAACCGCGUCGAUUGACGUUACCCGCAGAAGAAGCACCGGCUAACUCCGUGCCAGCAGCCGCCGUAA
Molecule: ribosomal RNA, 506 nt
Filed under: uncultured bacterium
Lineage: Bacteria
Description: partial 16S ribosomal RNA
Rfam family: Bacterial small subunit ribosomal RNA
Source: RNAcentral